Molecule: ribosomal RNA, 441 nt
Filed under: uncultured bacterium
Lineage: Bacteria
Description: partial 16S ribosomal RNA
Rfam family: Bacterial small subunit ribosomal RNA
Source: RNAcentral
CCUACGGGAGGCAGCAGUGGGGGAUAUUGCACAAUGGGGGGAACCCUGAUGCAGCGACGCCGCGUGGGUGAAGGAGGGCUUCGGCAUGUAAAGCUCUAUCGGCAGGGAAGAAGCAAGACGGUACCUGACUAAGAAGCCCCGGCUAACUACGUGCCAGCAGCCGCGGUAAUACGUAGGGGGCGAGCGUUAUCCGGAUUCACUGGGUGUAAAGGGAGCGUAGACGGCCAUGCAAGCCAGAGGUGAAAGCCCGGGGCUCAACCCCGGGACUGCCCUUGGAACUGCAUGGCUUGAGUGCGGGAGGGGUAGGCGGAAUUCCUGGUGUAGCGGUGAAAUGCGUAGAUAUCAGGAGGAACACCGGCGGCGAAGGCGGCCUGCUGGGCUGCAACUGACGUUGAGGCUCGAAAGCGUGGGGAGCGAACAGGAUUAGAUACCCGUGUAGUC